This 253-nucleotide ribosomal RNA is filed under the name uncultured bacterium. RNAcentral's name for it is "partial 16S ribosomal RNA". It matches the Rfam family "Bacterial small subunit ribosomal RNA", at positions 524 to 776 of the family's 1533-position model. The record is from RNAcentral.
UACAGAGGGUGCGAGCGUUAAUCGGAAUUACUGGGCGUAAAGCGUGCGUAGACGGCUAUCUAAGUCGGGUGUGAAAGCCCCGGGCUCAACCUGGGAACUGCAUUUGUGACUGCAUGGCUGGAGUGCGGCAGAGGGGGAUGGAAUUCCGCGUGUAGCAGUGAAAUGCGUAGAUAUGCGGAGGAACACCGAUGGCGAAGGCAAUCCCCUGGGCCUGCACUGACGCUCAUGCACGAAAGCGUGGGGAGCAAACAGG